GAAACCAACAGGGAUUGCCCUAGUAACGGCGAGUGAAGCGGCAUCAGCUCAAAUUUGAAAUCUGGCUCUUUUAGGGUCCGAGUUGUAAUUUGCAGAGGGCGCUUUGGCGUUGGCAGCGGUCCAAGUUCCUUGGAACAGGACGUCACAGAGGGUGAGAAUCCCGUACGUGGUCGCUGGCCUUCGCCGUGUAAAGCCCCUUCGACGAGUCGAGUUGUUUGGGAAUGCAGCUCUAAAUGGGAGGUAAAUUUCUUCUAAAGCUAAAUACUGGCCAGAGACCGAUAGCGCACAAGUAGAGUGAUCGAAAGAUGAAAAGCACUUUGGAAAGAGAGUCAAAUAGCACGUGAAAUUGUUGAAAGGGAAGCGCUUGCAGCCAGACUUGCCUGUAGUUGCUCAUCCGGGCUUUUGCCCGGUGCACUCUUCUGCGGGCAGGCCAGCAUCAGUCUAGGCGGUUGGAUAAAGGCCUCUGUCACGUACCUCCUUUCGGGGAGGCCUUAUAGGGGAGGCGUAAUGCAACCAGCCUGGACUGAGGUCCGCGCAUCUGCUAGGAUGCUGGCGUAAUGGCUGUAAGCGGCCCGUCUUGAAACACGGACCAAGGAGUCUAACAUCUAUGCGAGUGUUUGGGUGUCAAGCCCGAACGCGUAAUGAAAGUGAACGGAGGUGGGAUCCCUUUAGGGUGCACCAUCGACCGAUCCUGAUGUCUUCGGAUGGAUUUGAGUAAGAGCAUGGCUGUUGGGACCCGAAAGAUGGUGAACUAUGCUUGAAUAGGGUGAAGCCAGAGGAAACUCUGGUGGAGGCUCGCAGCGGUUCUGACGUGCAAAUCGAUCGUCAAAUUUGGGCAUAGGGGCGAAAGACUAAUCGAA
Molecule: ribosomal RNA, 860 nt
Filed under: Parafenestella ulmi
Lineage: Eukaryota; Fungi; Ascomycota; Dothideomycetes; Pleosporales; Cucurbitariaceae
Description: Parafenestella sp. CP-2021b partial large subunit ribosomal RNA
Rfam family: Eukaryotic large subunit ribosomal RNA
Source: RNAcentral